GGAAGGAUCAUUACCGAGUUGAUUCGAGCUCCGGCUCGACUCUCCCACCCAAUGUGUACCUACCUCUGUUGCUUUGGCGGGCCGCGGUCCUCCGCACCGGCGCCCUUCGGGGGGCUGGCCAGCGCCCGCCAGAGGACCAUAAAACUCCAGUCAGUGAACUUUGCAGUCUGAGAAACAAGUUAAUAAACUAAAACUUUCAACAACGGAUCUCUUGGUUCUGGCAUCGAUGAAGAACGCAGCGAAAUGCGAUAAGUAAUGUGAAUUGCAGAAUUCAGUGAAUCAUCGAAUCUUUGAACGCACAUUGCGCCCCUUGGUAUUCCGAGGGGCAUGCCUGUUCGAGCGUCAUUUCAACCCUCAAGCUCUGCUUGGUAUUGGGCUCCGUCCUCCACGGACGCGCCUUAAAGACCUCGGCGGUGGCGUCUUGCCUCAAGCGUAGUAGAAAACACCUCGCUUUGGAGCGCACGGCGUCGCCCGCCGGACGAACCUUUGAAUUAUUUCUCAAGGUUGACCUCGG
RNAcentral lists this ribosomal RNA (514 nucleotides) under Neofusicoccum kwambonambiense. RNAcentral describes it as "eukaryotic LSU rRNA". The stretch from base 192 to 345 matches the Rfam family "5.8S ribosomal RNA". The record is from RNAcentral. Lineage: Eukaryota; Fungi; Ascomycota; Dothideomycetes; Botryosphaeriales; Botryosphaeriaceae.